RNAcentral lists this transfer RNA (73 nucleotides) under Solirubrobacterales bacterium. Its description in RNAcentral is "tRNA-Ala". It matches the Rfam family "tRNA". From Rfam's summary of the family: Transfer RNA (tRNA) molecules are approximately 80 nucleotides in length. Their secondary structure includes four short double-helical elements and three loops (D, anti-codon, and T loops). The record is from RNAcentral. Lineage: Bacteria; Bacillati; Actinomycetota; Thermoleophilia; Solirubrobacterales. RNAcentral also lists the same sequence under 8 other names.
GGGGCUGUAGCUCAGCUGGAAGAGCGCCGCCAUGGCAUGGCGGAGGCCAGGGGUUCGAGCCCCCUCAGCUCCA